RNAcentral lists this ribosomal RNA (253 nucleotides) under uncultured bacterium. RNAcentral describes it as "partial 16S ribosomal RNA". It matches the Rfam family "Bacterial small subunit ribosomal RNA", at positions 524 to 776 of the family's 1533-position model. The record is from RNAcentral.
UACGAAGGGAACUAGCGUUGUUCGGAAUCACUGGGCGUAAAGCGCACGUAGGCGGACGUGUCAGUCAGGGGUGAAAUCCCGGAGCUCAACUUCGGAACUGCCUUUGAUACAGCACGUCUUGAGUCCGGAAGAGGUGGGUGGAAUUCCUAGUGUAGAGGUGAAAUUCGUAGAUAUUAGGAAGAACACCGGUGGCGAAGGCGGCCCACUGGUCCGGUACUGACGCUGAGGUGCGAAAGCGUGGGGAGCAAACAGG